UCCGAGUGGAGGAAGGGGGGAGUUAUCUGAUAACUGACCACCCCCGAAAGAACAAAAGGGGAUUUUUAUGCCAUUGCAGUAUUAUCGGAUUUGGCUACAAAAAAUUGACAUACCAGGGAUACCUUAUUCUUCUUAGUUUCUCUCUCCAAAGGCCUCAAGUGACCAAAGAUCACAAUCACCGUCUUGCUCUCCCAAUUCGAAUCUAUAUAUUGUAAGUUUACAAAGCCCCGGCAGAUGCGGCUACCUUAAAAGCGAGCUUGAGCUUACAGGUAUUCCAAAUAAGGAACAAUGAUGGGUGAAUGCUUUGACAAUUAUCAUUGAUGAAAACAGCUGUUUUCUUUGCCUUUCAAACACGCGGCCUUCUCCCAUGGACCUUCGUUACUCAAUCCCGGACGAUUUUACUGUUUAAUUAAUGGGAAUGACGACUUAGACCAAAAUCCCUAACGUCCAAUUCCCCCCAACCCCCUCUGACAUCGGUACCAUACGCGUACCCCAAAAAAUUGGGGUACGCGUAUGAUGGGAAGAUGUUGGGAAGGUGAAAAGCCUUAUGACGCUCAAGUGAAACGCGCUGUAAAACCUACAUAAACUAAAACAUGUACUAUCAUAGUAUUUAAUAGUAAUGCCCCCUCAUUCACCGUCACAAGUCUUUGAGAUUUUAAUCAUUUUACAUCAUCCUUUCUUUAUCAAGUCCGUCCUGAAUUCUGUGAAAAAUCUGAGCGUCCCUGGUACGGACUAGUAUAAGGCCAGACGGUUAACCUGACGUGUCAAGCAAAUGGUGCCCCGGUACCAGAUGUUCAGCGGUAUAACAAUGGGACUUUCAUUACAAGUGGCGAGGCGAUGACUGUUAAUUGGAGUAGCCCUUCUGGGAACUAUUCCUGCACAGCUUCUAAUAACUUUGGUGUCGUGCGUAGAAGCAUCUUCAUCGAAAAACGGGCUGAGUCGCACAGACAGACUUACAGACAGACUUACAGACAGACCGGAAGGUGGUCUUGAGAGGUCGGACAUCUUGUGUUGCCGAGGCAAGAGAAGUCAGCUGAGAGCUCUUAGGGGAUUUUAAAAGCCUGUACUGCUAAACCAAUCCAACAGCCGCUGGACACUUUGCUGGCGGGCUAGUUCACAUGGUUGGUCGGGCUCAACACUCUUUAACAGGGAAUUACAGAUCUUCAACUCGAUCCUUCUUGUUCAGUUUGUACAACAUCAUAGGCUCUUACCCCCUCAAGCUGCCAGUGUACGACCACAGCAAAAGCAUCUAUGAUGGUGGUAAACCUCCCGCACUUGGCUCAGGGCGUGACCUGUUUGUAAGCCAAACAUCCACAACAACUCCAGGAUCAUACAAGGCUCCCCCUGGUUGCAGAGUAGAGUUAAGAUGCAAUUUCUUUGCCGGAGAAAGUAGGUUUACUACUGACAAGGUCUUCUAUGAAAGUCAUUAAAGUCUUGGGGUUGCAACUGUUCGUAUCAAACAGAACAAGUCUGCUACCUUAAUCGGAGCUACGACGGUUUGAUUGACAUCCAUUGUCACGUGAUCGCUUUGUACGUCAUGCAGUUUUUUAAAGUAACCGUAGUUAUGGUAAUGGUAAUAUAGUAGUGGCCGACAGUGGUUAUUCUCCAAAGUAAAAUAACAUAUCGAUAACAAGAGCUAGUGAAAUUUAUCAUUUUAAUCUGUUUUAUUAGUACACAGUGAUAUUGACUUGUUAACACUUUUAUUCUACAUAAAAUUGGUGGAAUUUCCCGUAAUAUUCCUUAUGAUAGUAAUAUGUGCAGACAAAAUUGUACUCAAUUUGCUAUAGCUAAUUCAAUGGAUUUGGUUUAAAACCUCCCACUUUUUAGGGCGAAGAGGGUUAAUAACGAUAAUAAGAAUCUGAAGUGCGGGUGCGUGCCCAGGAUUGGCGGAGGGGUGUGGGGGUGGGGGGAUGCGUAGUCAUAGGUAUCAUGGAAAAAAAGCAUAGUACUUGAAGAUUCCUUAAAAAAGUACCCACUUUUUGCCGCCAAGAGGAGAGGGGUGCGCGUGCACCCUGUCCCCCCCCCCCAUCCCCCCCCCCCCAUCCCCUGUAUACGCGCCUGACCUGUACAAAAACCUAAAGAUGUAAAUUGUACAAAUCUGGGACGGGAAAUGAACAACAGCUGUCCGUCAUUUAAGGGAAAUAAAUAAAUGACUGAAGAGCG
Long non-coding RNA from Nematostella vectensis (starlet sea anemone), 2163 nucleotides. RefSeq lists it as uncharacterized. The record is from RefSeq and is a predicted model, not a curated record. The transcript has 3 exons. Lineage: Eukaryota; Metazoa; Cnidaria; Anthozoa; Actiniaria; Edwardsiidae.